UACGGGGGGGGCUAGUGUUACUCAUCAUUACUGGGCGUAAAGCGUGCGCAGGCGGUUCGUUGUGUCGGCGGUGAAAGCCCCGGGCUCAACCUGGGAAUGGCCGUUGAAACUGGCGAACUGGAGUGUGGCAGAGGGGGGUGGAAUUCCGCGUGUAGCAGUGAAAUGCGUAGAGAUGCGGAGGAACACCGAUGGCGAAGGCAGCCCCCUGGGCUGACACUGACGCUCAGGCACGAAAGCGUGGGGAGCAAACAGG
Molecule: ribosomal RNA, 253 nt
Filed under: uncultured bacterium
Lineage: Bacteria
Description: partial 16S ribosomal RNA
Rfam family: Bacterial small subunit ribosomal RNA
Source: RNAcentral